GGUAAUGACUACAAAACAGUCGGCCGUAUUCUUGUCCAGUCGAACGGCCGGUUCAAUCCAGCGCCCAUCGCUGAUCCAACAAGACUAGCGCGCGCCAACCAUGUGCACUGACAAGCAUGCCCCACCUUCUAGAAAGCGGGAGGGUCGCACACAAGUUCAUUUCAUCUACUCAUCCUCUCUCAGUCUCUCUAGGGUUCCUCUUUCUUCUCCAGCCGCUCUAGCACUCUCCUGUCCACCGGCGAAGGAGGUCAUCGAGGCAAGCAACUAGAAUCCGGAGGGGGAGGGAGUGCUGGAAGAGAAGAUCACAUAGAAUAAGCACCUCUCCCUUCCGCGGGGUGCCCCCGCACACUUGAAAUCUCUCUCCCCUCAUCUUUGAUUUGGGGUGCCUUUUACUUUCAGUUUCAUUUCCAUGGCCCAGCGAAAGCAUGGAGGGCACAGGCGGUGGAGAUCGAGCUGGCAUUGAUUCCGGUGAUUUUUGUUCCUCUCGUCACCAGAUCAAGGGAACUAUGAGGUGCGCAGGACAUCGAAUCGAUGCCCACCCUGUGCUCCUCGUCGGCGGCCGCAGCACCGGGGAUUCAGCAUUUCAGAGGUAAACCCCAUGCCCAUUGAGCCAACUAGAUGCGAUUUCCCCUAGGUCUUUCUCCUAUGUGGGUGUUGUCUAGUCCUCCUGCACGCGUUCAAGCCGAUUUGGCUUCUGUCUUGGUGUUUUUCCGUUUUAGGGUUUCAUUUCUAUCUUGCUGCAUGUAUUUUAGCCCCCUCCCGCUGGCUGCAGUAGCAAUUUGGUAGAGAUUGGUUGCUGGAAAUUUUGGCUAUAGGUGAGAGAUUGGGGGAAGAAAAAUUUUGGUGGGAGUGUGUAGUGCUGGUAGAGAUUGGUACUAAUCUUGUUGUUCUGUAGGGAGUCAAAUCAAUGCAAGCGAUUAUUGAUUUCUGGCCUUCUACAACAGCUGCUCCAGAUCGAUACAAAUAUUACUGUGCCAAGCUCUUGUAAUUUUACCUCUAUAUGUGUCAGAUUUAAUCAGUUUAGAUCAAACCCAGUGGUUCUAUAACUUUUUUCUCCUUCGGGCAGCAAGUGCUCAUGUGUUUUUACUUAAUGAUGCGAAGCCGUAGCACAUCUCCUAGCUUUUGCAUUGUUUCUCAUGUAGGAACAUUAAUUUGAGAUAGCUGAUUUUUUCCAUAUUUGUUACCUGGGCCUUUUUCUAUAUUUUUUGUGUGGUUAGCAGCAGCACUUCUGUUUUAACCGUGUGCUUCUGAUGGGGAGGGAGGCCAGAGAUAUCAGAUUUUUUAUGAUAGUGCUGAUGAAAUAAAUCAUAGAUUCCAUUGAUAUUGUAUUUGUUGUCUAAUAUAGUUUAUUGGAUUUAUCGCGACUCACUGUACAUUUUUUUUGUUCAGCUGAUUAACAAAUCAUAUGUAGUAAGCUACACAUUUGCUUUACUAAUUUUUUUUACGGCGAUGUAUAUCUCCUGUUGAUAUAUAAUUGAAUAAUUAUUUUACGCCUACUCAUUUGCUUUAAGUUGCUCCUGAGUUUAUUAUAAUAUGCCUACAACUCCUAGCAAGAAUGCUUAUUGUUGUAUGAUUAAAGUAUCACCAAAAUUUAUAGUUGAGCAAAAUGUUCCGUUCAUUCAUCAUGGGAGUUAUCUAUGUAAAGUAGCAAAAUGUUCUGUUCAUUCAUCAUGAGAGUGAUGCAAAAAUGUUCUGUUCAGUUAAACAUUAGUUUGAGGUCGCGGUGGGUUUCCUAGAACAAGCUAACUUUUACUAAGUUAGAUGUGUUUCAUUAGGAUCAUUCUCGUCCUAAUUACCCAAGUUCCUUAAGGGAAGUUCUGAUGACUAUCCAGGUUGCUCAUCAAUGAAUGAAGAAUAAAUCAGUUCAUCCACGCAUCCUCUGGAUGGCACUGGAUCCAAUGCCGAAAAGACAACCUCUGCAUUAUGUCUGAAAUUCAGAUGAUUCAGAACUGAAAACUCAAGAACUAUGCCUGAUAAAUCUUGUACAGAGCAAUGUGGAAAGGUGAGUGGAGAGGUAUGCUCGUGAGUAAGUUGAAACCUUAUGCUCCUCCCUAAAUAAAACUGUAUGCAGCCCAGCUAAGAUUUGGUACCCACCAAGGAUACCUCUACAUCUAUUUCUUCCAAAGCUCUCUGCCUCAAGACUGCCUAGCUUCCUUCCUAUUCUAGCUUCCAAAUUCCACGGCCCACUGUAUAGGCAUGAAUAUAUGAGCCAUUAGCCAUAAUGCAUUUGAUGAGUAAUGAGUGACCAAUCUCUGAAUCUUUGAUUGCUUAUGUCAUAGGUCAGUACUGCAGCACCGUGCUAGGAUGGAAAGCAACAGUGCUACGGUUUCAUCACAGAAGGGGGGAAAAAUGGUAAGUGAAGUUGAUCCAUCCAAUUAUGAAUUUGUUUCUCUUUGCUGUUGCCAUUCUUUGGAUGUUAGUUGCAGACCGAGAAUGAACUUUCCAUGCCCUCCGUGACAAAGUUAGUGUUCAGUUUUUGAAUUAGAUUAUUAGAAUCAUCUAAUGUUUGAUUGAAUUAUUCAGUGAUGUUUAUAAUCAGUUAUUAAUGAGAAGUUCAUAUCUGAUAAUAAGAACACUAUUUUAUGAUGUGAGAUUGUGACAUGAUCUAUGGAAUUGGAUAUCAUGUGGUUCUUAAUUAGGCAAUAAUAUGGUCUUAAAAAGGCAAAAUAGUGUACUUUAUUAGGCAAUGUUACAUAACAUCUAAUUUUCAGUAUGUCGUUGUGAAACAGCAGUAUUGCUACUAGACCUCAAACCAGUAUUCUGAUUGUAGGAAUUAGCUUGUGUAUUUUUUUACCAGAGGGAAUAGGUGAAUGGCUAUAUUUCUUGAAUCCGUGAAGUGCAUAUACAUUGCAUUAGUAUGGCAUGAACAAGUAUGGCGGAUAUUCAGGUUAUGUCCAAUCUGGCUGAUCAUCAUGGAUGGUGAGUGUUUGUUUUUUUGCAGCCUCAGCUCCCUGGUAUUUUUGGAGUUCUUUGUGGACAGGGGUGGGGGAUUUCAUUUUCUUCUUCCUUUUUUAAAUCUGCUUUCUAAUUGUACAACUGUAUCUACUACGCACCUAUUAAACAGUUCACAUUUUGAAAUAUAUGUUGUAUAGUUGAGCCUCUAAUUGUUCUUUUCUGACUUAGGUAUUUUAUCUUUUAAGUUAGGCAAAAGUACUAUUACUAAUUAAGAAAAUUACUUCUUUUUCUAGCUUUGAAUUAGCCUCACACCCCAGCACGAAAAGCACACGAGGUGAGUCAACCUGACCCCCCUGCCCCCUCGGCUCAAAGUUGUAUGUGCUCUGUGGAUUUCCCGGAUUUUUGUUAGGCCGACAUAGCUCGUGGAUCAUAUUUCAGGUUGAACGAAUAGGCUGUAUUGUUAUGUUUGGUAUAGCUGUUGAACCAUAAAUGGAUUGUAGCAUUUUAGUGCUUAAAUUAUAGCUUGAAAUGUACAGCUCUGUAAAAUAUAUCUCCUAAUUGAUUGUGUCAUGUUUUUUAUUUGAAGAAUUUGAUUGGUGAAAUGCCCUAUCCAAGAUGAUAAUCAAAACUAGUAUUAUUGUAUCUUUUCCAGGUGGGUUCAUGGGGUGGAAAUGGGUUGGUGUGCCACAUGAAUGCCAAAGUAUUAUGAACAUGUCUAGUUACUCUGAACAUGUCUAGUUAUUAGCUUUUCCUUUUUAGAUUGGAGUUCCAAAACAGGGGACCAAACAAGCAAAAAUAGUGUGUUCAUUUUUUAAUGCAGUCAGAUGGAGUUUUUCCCCCUCUAAACACAGGACAUACACUUAAUUUUUGGUUGUUUUCCACAUGCAGUCAGUCAGUCACGAUUGUUGGUUCCACAAGCUGAUGCAUGCUCAACAUUGGGGGCGGGCGUUCAGUGUGCAACAUUCAAGAAAAAGAGGAUAUUUGCAACAUUCGGAUGAUCCUGAUGCACACAUGGCUUAAUUUUGAAGAAAAUGACAGUGGGAAAGCAUCCUGAAUUUGGCAUAGGCUUUUACAGCAGUGGACUCAAAUCAGGUUUUACAUCAGUGGAUUCUACAUCAGCACAUCUGUCCGGAUUCUCACGUACACAAUUUAGUUUUUGUAAUUGAAGAUCUGCUAUUUAUGUAUCUGGGGGGAUAUGUUUUUCCCAAAUCUUGUUGCUAGAACUUUGAAAUAAAGUUGCGCAAGAUUGCUGCAUAAAAGAUUGAGAUCCGAUCAGUGUGUCAC
Molecule: long non-coding RNA, 4179 nt
Organism: Panicum virgatum (switchgrass)
Lineage: Eukaryota; Viridiplantae; Streptophyta; Magnoliopsida; Poales; Poaceae
Exons: 4
Source: RefSeq, a predicted model, not a curated record